UAUCAAUAAUCAGCAUCCCCUCCAUGCGAUUGCAGCAGAGACGCGUUCACCAAUUUCAUCAGCGGCCACUUAGCUCAGUUGGUUAGAGC
Non-coding RNA from Trichosporon asahii var. asahii CBS 2479, 89 nucleotides. The record is from the annotation of a RefSeq genome assembly. Lineage: Eukaryota; Fungi; Basidiomycota; Tremellomycetes; Trichosporonales; Trichosporonaceae.